CGGGACGGGUGAGUAACGCGUGGGGAACCUGCCCUAUACAGGGGGAUAACAGUUAGAAAUGACUGCUAAUACCGCAUAAGCGCACGGAGCCGCAUGGCGCUGAGUGAAAAACGAUAGUGGUAUAGGAGGGACCCGCGUCUGAUUAGGUAGUUGGUGAGGUAACGGCCCACCAAGCCGACGAUCAGUAGCCGACCUGAGAGGGUGACCGGCCACAUUGGGACUGAGACACGGCUCAAACUCCUACGGGAGGCAGCAG
Molecule: ribosomal RNA, 256 nt
Filed under: uncultured bacterium
Lineage: Bacteria
Description: partial 16S ribosomal RNA
Rfam family: Bacterial small subunit ribosomal RNA
Source: RNAcentral